This 153-nucleotide unclassified non-coding RNA is filed under the name soil metagenome. Its description in RNAcentral is "partial internal transcribed spacer 1". The record is from RNAcentral.
CAGAGUUGCAAGACUCCCAAACCAUUGUGAACCUACCUUCUACAGUUGCCUCGGCGGGGGCAGCGCCCCCCGGCCACAGGAGCCGAGCCGCCGGCGGAACCCAAACUCUUUGACACUAGGCCAUCUCUGAGUAUCUUAUUACGAAUAAGUUCA